CACGGAAGUAGCAUGAUUCAUACAUUGAGAUAUUACCACUGUACAUAGAACCAAAGCCAUGAGAACUCCCAUCAUGUAGCAACAUGAGUCGAAAUGCAAUGGCAGGGGGAUAGAAUAAGAACUUAGCUUUAGAAGAGGAAAGGGGCCACUGCACUGCUCUGCUCUGAAACCAAGGAGGACGGUGCGACGAAGCUCGGAGGACGACGGAGGCGGCGGGCCUUCACCUGCCGCCCGGAGGAAUGCAGCAGCAACGGCGAGAUUGAGAGUGGGCUGAGGGGACUAGUGCUCGACCAGUAGUGAGUUCAGAGAGGAGAGGUAGACUCUCAUCGGAAUUUCGGAGACCACGGUGGUGACCAGCGUUCUGAAUCGGAGAUGAGUCAGCGGCCUGACGAAUGACGGACGCAGCCGCGAGUGCAGCGGCGCGGCGAAUCCCGCCAGCCUCCCAAAUUGUGGCGGCGGCGAUUUCCGAUUUGGG
Molecule: long non-coding RNA, 475 nt
Filed under: Salvia miltiorrhiza (redroot sage)
Lineage: Eukaryota; Viridiplantae; Streptophyta; Magnoliopsida; Lamiales; Lamiaceae
Description: long non-coding RNA (SMIL_LNC003503)
Source: RNAcentral